CCUACGGGAGGCAGCAGUGGGGAAUAUUGCACAAUGGGGGAAACCCUGAUGCAGCGACGCCGCGUGAGUGAAGAAGUAAUUCGUUAUGUAAAGCUCUAUCAGCAGGGAAGAAAAUGACGGUACCUGAGUAAGAAGCCCCGGCUAACUACGUGCCAGCAGCCGCGGUAAUACGUAGGGUGCGAGCGUUAAUCGGAAUUACUGGGCGUAAAGCGCUCGUAGGCGGGAUGUCAAGUCAAGGGUGAAAUCCCCGCGCUCAAAGUGGGAACUGCCUUUGAAACUGGCAAGCUGGAGUGGGUGAGAGGAUAGUGGAAUUCCAGGUGGAGGAGUGGAAUCGGUAGAUAACUGGAGGGACAUCAGUGGCGAAGGCGACUAUCUGGGACAUAACUGACGCUGAGGGGCGAAAGCGUGGGUAGCAAACAGGAUUAGAUACCCCUGGUAGUC
RNAcentral lists this ribosomal RNA (441 nucleotides) under uncultured bacterium. RNAcentral's name for it is "partial 16S ribosomal RNA". It matches the Rfam family "Bacterial small subunit ribosomal RNA", at positions 338 to 795 of the family's 1533-position model. The record is from RNAcentral.